Molecule: long non-coding RNA, 401 nt
Organism: Orussus abietinus
Lineage: Eukaryota; Metazoa; Arthropoda; Insecta; Hymenoptera; Orussidae
Exons: 2
Source: RefSeq, a predicted model, not a curated record
CACAGGAACGUUUCCGCAGGUCCCAUUUGGACCCUCCUGUUCCCUGAGGACUGAAAAUUCAAAACAAUCCAACUUUUGCAAACAAUCCACGAGUAAUGCAUUUUUACAUUAAGGGUCCCGUUUGGCCCCUCCUGUUCCCUGAGGACUGAAAAUUCAAAACAAUCCAACUUUUGCAAACAAUCCACGAGCAAUGCAUUUUUACAUUCAGAGUGAUUAUUAACACAUUCUCUGUCACACCGAAUUUCCUUUUUUUUUAAUAAUGUUUAUUUACACACCUUUGGUAAAUACAAAGACAUGCCGUCGUUUGGAACAUGAUUAAGAAAAUUGAUACCACAAACUAUAUCUGGCUCUUGAUACUCUAACUAUUGAACUUCUUGAUUAAUAAAUGAUAAUCGUCAUAA